Molecule: ribosomal RNA, 251 nt
Filed under: uncultured bacterium
Lineage: Bacteria
Description: partial 16S ribosomal RNA
Rfam family: Bacterial small subunit ribosomal RNA
Source: RNAcentral
GCAAGUCGAACGAGAAAAUCCUCCGGGGAGAGUAAAGUGGCGCACGGGUGAGUAACGCGUAGGUGAUAUGCCUUCUAGUUGGGGACAACAGUUGGAAACGACUGCUAAUACCGAAUAAGCUGAUUACAUUAAAAAAAAUCAGGAAAGGGGGCUUAGGCUCUCGCUAAGAGAUUGGCCUGCGUGACAUUAGCUUGAUGGUGGGGUAAUGGCCUACCAUGGCUACGAUGUCUAACUGGUCUGAGAGGAUGAUC